GAUGAACGCUGGCGGCGUGCCUAAUACAUGCAAGUCGAGCGAGAAGCUUGGAAAUGACGCUUCGGUUGAUUUUCCAAGCGGACAGCGGCGGACGGGUGAGUAACGCGUAGGCAACCUGCCCCUGACAGAGGGAUAGCCAUUGGAAACGAUGAUUAAAACCUCAUGACACCGUAGUAGCACAUGCUACAUCGGUCAAAGAUUUAUCGGUCAGGGAUGGGCCUGCGUCUGAUUAACUGGUUGGUGAGGUAACGGCUCACCAAGGUGACGAUCAGUAGCCGACCUGAGAGGGUGAUCGGCCACAUUGGAACUGAGACACGGUCCAAACUUCUACGGAAGGCAGCAGUAGGGAAUCUUGCACAAUGGGCGAAAGCCUGAUGCAGCAACGCCGCGUGAAGGAUGAAGGCCUUCGGGUUGUAAAACUUUCUGUUCUAAAGGGAAAGAAA
This 443-nucleotide ribosomal RNA is filed under the name Mogibacterium timidum. RNAcentral describes it as "bacterial SSU rRNA". It matches the Rfam family "Bacterial small subunit ribosomal RNA", at positions 28 to 452 of the family's 1533-position model. Lineage: Bacteria; Bacillati; Bacillota; Clostridia; Peptostreptococcales; Anaerovoracaceae. The record is from RNAcentral.